RNAcentral lists this unclassified non-coding RNA (254 nucleotides) under Hevea brasiliensis (rubber tree). Lineage: Eukaryota; Viridiplantae; Streptophyta; Magnoliopsida; Malpighiales; Euphorbiaceae. The record is from RNAcentral.
GAAAGGUACAUACGGCUACAUAGACCCGGUAUACAUGGCUACAAAUAAGUUUACAAUGAAGAGCGACAUCUAUAGUUUCGGCAUAAUCAUUUUUGAACUAAUCACAGCCAUUCAUCCACACCAAAAUUUAGUGGACUAUAUUAAUCUCGCUGGAAUGAGCCCUGAUGGGAUUGAUGAAAUAAUUGACAAGCAACUAGCUGGAGAAUACAGUCUAGAGGAAGCAAGGAAGCUAGCUGAUAUCGGUCAUAGAUGCU